This 890-nucleotide ribosomal RNA is filed under the name uncultured eukaryote. RNAcentral describes it as "SSU rRNA". It matches the Rfam family "Eukaryotic small subunit ribosomal RNA", at positions 560 to 1473 of the family's 1831-position model. The record is from RNAcentral.
CCUUGUGCCAGCAGCCGCGGUAAUUCCAGCUCCAAUAGCGUAUAUUAAAGUUGUUGCGGUUAAAAAGCUCGUAGUUGGAUCUCGGCAAGUAGAGGGCGGUAUGCUUCGUAGCAUUACUGCCCUAUUACUUGUAGUUUUGCCAGAGGUUCCUGGGUGCUCUUAAUCGAGUGUCUAGGGAUGCUGGCAGGUUUACUUUGAAAAAAUUAGAGUGCUCAAAGCAGGCUAUUACGCUUGAAUAUUCGUGCAUGGAAUAAUAGAAUAGGAAGUUGUUUCUAUUUUGUUGGUUUUCGGAAAUCGACUUAAUGAUUAAUAGGGACAGUCGGGGGCAUUUGUAUUCAAACGACAGAGGUGAAAUUCUUGGACCGUUUGAAGACAAACUACUGCGAAAGCAUUUGCCAAGAAUGUUUUCAUUAAUCAAGAACGAAAGUUAGAGGUUCGAAGGCGAUUAGAUACCGCCCUAGUUCUAACCAUAAACGAUGCCAGCUAGCGAUCUGAGGACGUUUUUUUUGUAGACUCCUCAGGAAGCUUCCGGGAAACCAAAGCGUGUGGGUUCCGGGGGAAGUAUGGUUGCAAAGCUGAAACUUAAAGGAAUUGACGGAAGGGCACCACCAGGAGUGUAGCCUGCGGCUUAAUUUGACUCAACACGGGAAAUCUCACCAGGCCCGGACACUGGAAGGAUUGACAGAUUGAGAGCUCUUUCUCGAUUCGGUGGGUGGUGGUGCAUGGCCGUUCUUAGUUGGUGGAGUGAUUUGUCUGGUUAAUUCCGAUAACGAACGAGACUCUGUCCUGCUAAAUAGUGUCAGCCUCUCUUCUGGGCUGACAAUACUUCUUAGAGGGACUGGCGGCUCCUAGCCGCACGAGAUAGAGCAAUAACAGGUCUGUGAUGCCCA